UACGUAGGGGGCAAGCGUUGUCCGGAAUUAUUGGGCGUAAAGAGCGUGUAGGCGGUCCGGUAAGUCAGCUGUGAAAGUCAAGGGCUCAACCCUUGAAUGCCGGUUGAUACUGUCGGGCUAGAGUCCGGAAGAGGCGAGUGGAAUUCCCGGUGUAGCGGUGAAAUGCGCAGAUAUCGGGAGGAACACCAAUGGCGAAGGCAGAUCUCUGGGCCGUAACUGACGCUGAGGAGCGAAAGCAUGGGGAGCGAACAGG
Molecule: ribosomal RNA, 253 nt
Filed under: uncultured bacterium
Lineage: Bacteria
Description: partial 16S ribosomal RNA
Rfam family: Bacterial small subunit ribosomal RNA
Source: RNAcentral